GCGACUCCCAGUAUAGCCAGUAAUGGAUCAGAAAGAUUCGCUGGCGGAGUUCCUGAGCGUUGCUGUCGAGGCCGCCAAGAUCGCCGGAGAAGUCAUCCGUAAAGGAUUUUGCCAGACCAAGCAUGUGGAGCACAAAGGACUGGUAGAUCUGGUGACCGAAACUGACAAGGCAUGUGAAGAUCUUAUUUUUACCCACCUUAAAAGCCGCUUCCCUCACCAUAAGUAUAUUGGUGAAGAAACAUCUGCGGUCGAAGGUACAGCCGAACUCACAGACGAUCCUACAUGGAUGGUCGACCCCCUCGAUGGAACCACCAAUUUUGUUCAUGGGUACCCUUUUGUUUGCGUAUCUAUAGGUCUCACUAUCGGAAAAGUGCCCUCUGUUGGUGUGGUUUUCAAUCCCAUUCUUAAUGAGCUCUUUACUGGCAUUCG
This 429-nucleotide unclassified non-coding RNA is filed under the name Hevea brasiliensis (rubber tree). Lineage: Eukaryota; Viridiplantae; Streptophyta; Magnoliopsida; Malpighiales; Euphorbiaceae. The record is from RNAcentral.